This 491-nucleotide ribosomal RNA is filed under the name uncultured bacterium. RNAcentral's name for it is "partial 16S ribosomal RNA". It matches the Rfam family "Bacterial small subunit ribosomal RNA", at positions 29 to 507 of the family's 1533-position model. The record is from RNAcentral.
GUGAACGCUGGCGGUAGGCCUAACACAUGCAAGUCGAACGGCAGCACAGUAAGAGCUUGCUCUUACGGGUGGCGAGUGGCGGACGGGUGAGGAAUACAUCGGAAUCUACUUUUUCGUGGGGGAUAACGUAGGGAAACUUACGCUAAUACCGCAUACGACCUACGGGUGAAAGCAGGGGAUCUUCGGACCUUGCGCGAUUGAAUGAGCCGAUGUCGGAUUAGCUAGUUGGCGGGGUAAAGGCCCACCAAGGCGACGAUCCGUAGCUGGUCUGAGAGGAUGAUCAGCCAAACUGGAACUGAGACACGGUCCAGACUCCUACGGGAGGCAGCAGUGGGGAAUAUUGGACAAUGGGCGCAAGCCUGAUCCAGCCAUACCGCGUGGGUGAAGAAGGCCUUCGGGUUGUAAAGCCCUUUUGUUGGGAAAGAAAAGCAGCAGGUUAAUACCCCGCUGUUCUGACGGUACCCAAAGAAUAAGCACCGGCUAGCUUCGUG